RNAcentral lists this ribosomal RNA (483 nucleotides) under uncultured Caldilineaceae bacterium. RNAcentral describes it as "bacterial SSU rRNA". It matches the Rfam family "Bacterial small subunit ribosomal RNA", at positions 8 to 497 of the family's 1533-position model. The record is from RNAcentral. Lineage: Bacteria; Bacillati; Chloroflexota; Caldilineae; Caldilineales; Caldilineaceae.
AGGCUUUGAUCCUGGCUCAGGAUGAACGUUGGCGGCGUGCCUAAUACAUGCAAGUCGAACGAAGAGCUCGGUGUAGCAAUACACUGAACCUCUUAGUGGCGAACGGGUGAGUAACGCGUUGGUGACCUGCCCCAAAGAGAGGGAUAACAGUUCGAAAGGACUGCUAAUACCUCAUGUGAUCAUUUAGAUUAGAAGCUUUAUGAUUAAAGGAGCUUGCUCCACUUUGGGAGGGGCCUGCGUACCAUCAGCUAGUUGGUAGGGUAAUGGCCUACCAAGGCUAUGACGGUUAGGGGACCUGAGAGGGUGGCCCCCCACAAUGGAACUGAAACACGGUCCAUACACCUACGGGUGGCAGCAGUAGGGAAUAUUGGUAAUGCGCGAAAGCGCGAACCAGCAACGCCGCGUGUGCGAAGAAGGCCUUCGGGUUGUAAAGCACUUUUCGGGAGGAAGAGGAAGGACUGUACUCCCGGAAUAAGUCUCGGC